This 497-nucleotide ribosomal RNA is filed under the name uncultured bacterium. RNAcentral describes it as "partial 16S ribosomal RNA". It matches the Rfam family "Bacterial small subunit ribosomal RNA", at positions 28 to 507 of the family's 1533-position model. The record is from RNAcentral.
GAUGAACGCUGGCGGCGUGCCUAAUACAUGCAAGUCGAGCGAACAGACGAGGAGCUUGCUCCUCUGACGUUAGCGGCGGACGGGUGAGUAACACGUGGAUAACCUACCUAUAAGACUGGGAUAACUUCGGGAAACCGGAGCUAAUACCGGAUAAUAUAUUGAACCGCAUGGUUCAAUAGUGAAAGACGGUUUUGCUGUCACUUAUAGAUGGAUCCGCGCCGCAUUAGCUAGUUGGUAAGGCAACGGCUUACCAAGGCGACGAUGCGUAGCCGACCUGAGAGGGUGAUCGGCCACACUGGAACUGAGACACGGUCCAGACUCCUACGGGAGGCAGCAGUAGGGAAUCUUCCGCAAUGGGCGAAAGCCUGACGGAGCAACGCCGCGUGAGUGAUGAAGGUCUUCGGAUCGUAAAACUCUGUUAUUAGGGAAGAACAAAUGUGUAAGUACCUAUGCACGUCUUGACGGUACCUAAUCAGAAAGCCACGGCUAACUACGUG